Molecule: ribosomal RNA, 446 nt
Filed under: uncultured bacterium
Lineage: Bacteria
Description: partial 16S ribosomal RNA
Rfam family: Bacterial small subunit ribosomal RNA
Source: RNAcentral
CCUACGGGUGGCAGCAGUCGAGAAUCAUUCACAAUGGGGGAAACCCUGAUGGUGCGACGCCGCGUGGGGGAAUGAUGGUCUUCGGAUUGUAAACCCCUUUCAUGUGGGAGCAAAUUAAAAAGAUAGUACCACAAGAGGAAGAGACGGCUAACUCUGUGCCAGCAGCCGCGGUAAUACAGAGGUCUCAAGCGUUGUUCGUAAUCACUGGGGGUAAAGGGUGCGUAGGCGGUAUCGUAAGUCGUGUGUGAAAGGCGCGGGCUCAACCCGCGGACGGCACAUGAUACUGCGAGACUAGAGUAAUGGAGGGGGAACCGGAAUUCGCGGUGUAGCAGUGAAAUGCGUAGAUAUCGAGAGGAACACUCGUGGCGAAGGCGGGUUCCUGGACAUUAACUGACGCUGAGGCACGAAGGCCAGGGGAGCGAAAGGGAUUAGAUACCCUGGUAGUC